Molecule: ribosomal RNA, 542 nt
Filed under: uncultured bacterium
Lineage: Bacteria
Description: bacterial SSU rRNA
Rfam family: Bacterial small subunit ribosomal RNA
Source: RNAcentral
AGAGUUUGAUCAUGGCUCAGGACGAACGCUGGCGGCGUGGAUUAGGCAUGCAAGUCGAACGCGAAAGGGGAGCAAUCCCCAAGUAGAGUGGCGAACGGGUGAGUAACGCGUGAAGAACCUGCCUUCAACAGGGGGAUAACACUCCCAACGGGGUGCUAAUACCGCAUGAGACCACGGGUCUGCAUGGACCUGAGGUCAAAGGUGGCCUCUGCUUGCAAGCUACCGGUUGAAGAUGGCUUCGCGUCCCAUUAGCUAGUUGGCGGCGUAACGGACCACCAAGGCGACGAUGGGUAGCUGGUCUGAGAGGAUGGUCAGCCACACUGGGACUGAGAUACGGCCCAGACUCCUACGGGAGGCAGCAGUCGAGAGGCUUCGGCAAUGGGGGAAACCCUGACCGAGCGACGCCGCGUGGAGGAUGAAGGCCCUUGGGUUGUAAACUCCUUUUGUCGGGGAAGAAAUGCGAUCAGGUAAACAAUCUGGUCGUUUGACGGUACCCGGCGAAUAAGCUCCGGCUAACUCCGUGCCAGCCGCCGCGGUAAUAC